UUUGUUCUGCCCUGAGUGUAUUUUGUGUGUUAAUAUCACAGUUUUCCACUGAAAAUUACUGUCUAAUAAUUUGCUUCAACAAAUAGUGAAGCCUUUAUUUUGUGACAUGGGAAACAGGAAGUAGGAAGUUAGAGCAGUGGAACUUUUAUUUGACACCUUUUAUUAAACAGGAAACAGGAAAUAGAAAAGGUCCAAGCUGUGAAUAGAGCAUGGUUGCACCUGUGUGUUUUCCCUUGUGAAUCCAAGGCCAUCCUUCUGGUUAAUCCUUCAGAAAGCAAUGGCUUUUCACUCCGAUUCAUUGCUGCCACUGUGACCCAAUUUGUGAGUGUGUAAAGUGAAUAAAGGAGCAAGUGCGCUCGCUAUCCUGGCUCAUGAAAAGGAGUUUGGCUGGCUGUUUAUCUAUGUCAACACUUUGGAAGUUUAACACAUAGUGCGAACAGUACAGUUUUCUUACAGUGUCUUGGUGUUUAGUUUGCUAUCCAGACAGUCUUGAACUGGCAUAUGUUUGUGACGCCUAAGGAAUAAACCAUUUUGUUGUUUCUUCAAACCAAGACAGAGUGGGACUGGAUAAUUAAACCGCAUGAGAGAC
Melanotaenia boesemani (Boeseman's rainbowfish) is the source of this 589-nucleotide long non-coding RNA. RefSeq lists it as uncharacterized. The transcript is spliced from 3 exons. The record is from RefSeq and is a predicted model, not a curated record. NCBI's taxonomy places the organism in Eukaryota, Metazoa, Chordata, Actinopteri, Atheriniformes, Melanotaeniidae.